GUCCAUGGUAGCCAAGUGGACAUGACAUCUGCUCGAUAAGUGGAACACUAUGGGUUCGUUUCCCAUCCCUGGACA
This 75-nucleotide transfer RNA is filed under the name Cordylochernes scorpioides. RNAcentral's name for it is "tRNA-Ile". It matches the Rfam family "tRNA". Rfam says of the family: Transfer RNA (tRNA) molecules are approximately 80 nucleotides in length. Their secondary structure includes four short double-helical elements and three loops (D, anti-codon, and T loops). The record is from RNAcentral. Lineage: Eukaryota; Metazoa; Arthropoda; Arachnida; Pseudoscorpiones; Chernetidae.